AAUCUUCCACAAUGGGCGAAAGCCUGAUGGAGCAACGCCGCGUGAGUGAAGAAGGAANNNGGUUCNUCAAACUCUGUUGUAAGNGAANAACAAGUACAGUAGUAACUGGCUGUACCUUGACGGUACCUUAUUAGAAAGCCACGGCUAACUACGUGCCAGCAGCCGCGGUAAUACGUAGGUGGCAAGCGUUGUCCGGAAUUAUUGGGCGUGAGGCGCGCGCAGGUGGUUUCUUAAGUCUGAUGUGAAAGCCCACGGCUCAACCGUGGAGGGUCAUUGGAAACUGGGAGACUUGAGUGCAGAAGAGGGUAGUGGAAUUCCAAGUGUAGCGGUGAAAUGCGUAGAGAUUUGGAGGAACACCAGUGGCGAAGGCGACUAUCUGGUCUGUAACUGACACUGAGGCGCGAAAGCGUGGGGAGCAAACA
This 422-nucleotide ribosomal RNA is filed under the name uncultured bacterium. RNAcentral describes it as "partial 16S ribosomal RNA". It matches the Rfam family "Bacterial small subunit ribosomal RNA", at positions 360 to 774 of the family's 1533-position model. The record is from RNAcentral.